CCGGGCUGGGGGCUCCUGGUGCUGCCCGUGGGGGGGGGUGUGCCCAGGACGCUGCCAAUGCCCAGGGAUCUGCUCUGGGUCCAGGCUGUCCGUGCUGGAGGGCCCUGGUGGCUGCAGUCCCUGAGCCCACAGAGACAGAGAGAGCCCCGGCCCGAGUGGCCUUUGGCCCCUUGUCCUGAAUUUGGGGUGAGCCUGGGAGCGUGUGGAGGGUGAGAAUGAGGGCUGUGCUUCCAGUGCAUCAUCCCUGGGAAGAUCCUGUUGUUCCAGAGCGCUGGGGACAGUUUGGGCUUGGCAGCUUCAGAGCUGGGUCGGAGCAGCCCCUGGAAAGAAUCAGGAGAGUGGAGAUGCUGGAAUUGCCUCUCUGGCUGUGUGCUGAGCUCUGGCUGCAGGGGACUGUCAGGCCUUGGUGGCUCUGUUCCCUGCUGUCCAUUCCCUGGCCUGAAUUCCUUGCAGCUCCCAGCUGGGGAAACCUGGGAGAACAUGGCAGGGACAGAGGUGACAUUUGUAGCUGCCAACUUGGGGUAAUUUCGAGCGGCCCCAGCAACUGUUUGUGUAGGAAAAGGUGAGGUGCUGCAGAGGGGAGGGAGGUGGCAUUUUGGAGGGGUCCCACUGAGGGGGAGUGGAGAGCCUGGGGCUGGAGUGUGAGUUCUUAAACAGGGAAGAAGGGAAGGAUGCUUGGGAGGGAAACACUCAGGGAAUGUGUAGGGAUGGAAUGGAAAUUUGGGGUGUCAGGAAGAGAAAAUGGGUGAUGUAGAGGAAGGGAAAUGUUGGAGGUAAGAGUUGAUGUCAUCUGUAGAGGACAGAAUGACCAUUUAGAGAUAAAGUGAGGCAGUCAGUGGUGGGCAGGUAGGGAAAAUUUGUGUGUGUAAAAUUUCAGGUCACCUGUAGCAGAGAGGAUGUACCUCCUGCUGGACACUGAGGCAGUCAGGGGUGGGCAGGAGGGGAAACCUUUGGGGGUAAAACUUGAGGGAACGUGCAGGGCAGAGAGUGAAUAUUUUGAAGGAUAAAUGAGGUGCUCAGUGGUGGACAGCUGGGGAGUGUUUUAGGGUAAACUUGGGGUAGCCCACAGGGUAGAGAGUGAACAUGUAUUUGUAGAGAGGAGCUGAUUACAUGUGGGUAGGUAAGGAGAAUUUUGGGAGUAGAAUCUGUAGCAGAGAGAAGGAAUACCUUGGGGUAAAGUGAGGCAGUCAGUGUUGGGCAG
Long non-coding RNA from Pipra filicauda (Wire-tailed manakin), 1201 nucleotides. RefSeq lists it as uncharacterized. NCBI's taxonomy places the organism in Eukaryota, Metazoa, Chordata, Aves, Passeriformes, Pipridae. The transcript is spliced from 4 exons. The record is from RefSeq and is a predicted model, not a curated record.